Stylophora pistillata is the source of this 710-nucleotide long non-coding RNA. The record is from RefSeq and is a predicted model, not a curated record. Lineage: Eukaryota; Metazoa; Cnidaria; Anthozoa; Scleractinia; Pocilloporidae.
AAAAACAUGUCAGUUAUUUUAAAGCAUAAAUUUCUUGUUUAAGUCGCACUGAGAGUUCAUUUAGUUGCAGUCUGACACAAUUCUAAAAGCUCUCUGGUCUCUCUCUGGUUGACGAAACAGGAUUCCGAUGUUUUCAAUGUUACCAGCUUGCAUCCUAUUGGUUACUUCUGUAACAAUGAUUUCCAUGACGUCAGCAGCCACUAUUGCUUCCUCUUAUGGUUUCUGCAUGCAUGCGGCUAAACCAGUCUACCCGGGAGAGUCACUUGCCCUUCAGGAUUGCCAGUACAAAUGUAAAUGCGUGGUUAAUGAAGGUUACUCCUUCUUCAUGUGUGAACCUCUUUGUGAGAGGUACUACGACCAGAUCACGUGUUCUGAUGGACAGGAACCUGUCAUGAAACUUGAGGAGACAUCAAUCCCUGAAUGCAAAUGCCCCAAAUACGAAUGUCCACCCGAGAGGUUUUCCGUGUCUCACUUUAUAGAUUACGGAAUAGACGGGGAUGGGUUUUUUGAACCAGAAUUCUAUGAGGAAGGCGAAAGUCCUUACUUUGAAUAAAAAGCCUUCAAUUCUUCAAGAAGUGUCACUAAUCCAGCAUACAUCAGCUGAAGGACAGUUAAAAUAGACAUUGCCCCAGUCAAUAGGGACUUUAAGCAAACCACGACGGCUACAGCAACGAGAACGUGGAAAAACAAUAGAUCUAAUUGGUAGAACA